Molecule: long non-coding RNA, 1935 nt
Filed under: Monodelphis domestica (gray short-tailed opossum)
Lineage: Eukaryota; Metazoa; Chordata; Mammalia; Didelphimorphia; Didelphidae
Description: lncRNA (ENSMODG00000046814.1)
Source: RNAcentral
CUUGGCCUCUGCCGUCGCCGCCGGACUCUGCAGUCCCAGACUCACUGAAAAGCUACCAGCUAGACGCGGUCGCCGGACUCCCGACUCUGUGAAAUAUCUGGUGUCAGAAGUGGGAUUCAAAGAUUCCUGCCUAUUCUGUCACCUGUGUCAACCUCAGAGAGCUAGUACCAGCACAAGACCCCUUGUGUCCAAGCCUGGAUUUAACUCAAUGGUCCAGGCUGCUGGUUGUUAAAUAUUGAUAAGCACAUCCCCUGCAGGAAGCCCAUUGUUGCUUUGCUGCUACCAACAGAUCACCUCCCUUCAGCUCUCUGGAAUCAGCCCAGGAACUCCUCCCCACUCUGUCCCUGUAAUAAAUGGGUUGGGGAGGAUGUCAGGAAUGAUCAUGAAAUACUCUUUUUAUAUUUCCCUUGUGCACCUGGGGGGAUGUGGAGGGGAACUAAAACCAAGUCUCUAUGAGUUGUUUGUUGCUCAGUUGUUUCAAGGGUGUCUGACUCUUCAUAACCCCAUAUGGGGCUUUCUUGGCAAAGAUAUUGACACAUUUAGCCAUUUCCUUCUCCAACUCAUUGUACAGAUGAGGAAACUGAGGCCUAUAGGGUUAAGUGAUUUGUCCAAUGUCUGAACAUUUGGGACAAGCUAUAUGACCCUAGGCAAGUCACUUAACCUCUGUUUGCAUUAAUCCUCUGGAGAAGAAAAUGGCAAACCACUUCAGUAGCCUUGCCAAGAAAACCCCAAGGACAGCUUUGGAAUCCUUUGGUCCCAGGAGUCAUGCAGAAUCAGACAUGACUGGACCACUGAAUAACAACAAGAGGUCUUUAAGAGGGUUCCACCAGGCUUCUUCUGGGCACAUCCUCUACAUUCUUGCCCCAGCUAAGAAAUAUGCAGCUCCUGAAAAAUUACACUAGCUACAUCCAGUACACUGGCCUGCCUCCUCCAUUCAAGGAGGUAAUUGUAGAGCAUUUUAGUAAAGCUGAAAGCACUAUAUAAAUGUCAAUUAUGAUUAUGGCUAAUAAUAAGAAUGAAGUAAAAAGCUCAGAUCAAAUGGCAUUUAAUAAGUAUUUCUUAUAUGCCAACACUGUAUGAAGAAUUGAUAAUACAAACAGGAAAUGAAGAAAUUCCCUGUUCUCAAGAAGCUCUCUAUUAAUAAUGACACUAACAAUAAUAAUCAGAAGAUGAGCUUACCUCCUGAUACUACAGAUGAGCUUAUAUUCUAGCACCUUUAAAAAAAAAAAACACCUUACCUUCUGUUUUAGAAUCCAUCAAUACUCUCAGCUCCAAGGCAGAAGAGUGGUAAGGGCUAGACAAUGGGGUUAAUGACUUGCCCAGAGUCACACUGUUAGGAAGUAUCUGAGGCUAAAUUUGAACCCAAGACCUCCUAUCUCCAGGCUUGACUCUCUAUCCACUGCACUACCUAGCUGUUCUAAUGCUUUUAUUCGAUUACAAAAAGCAGUUGUUUUAAGGGCUAGUGCCAUAGUCCAUAGAAUAUUACAUGCAGGAGAAUAAUAAUAGGAUGACAAUUUGUCCAGGGCUGUUUCUGUCUGAAUUUCAUUAAAGAUGAAAAGAAUGAUUUUUUCCUAUAAGAAUAACUCUGUGGUCAUUGGAACACUCCACAGUUUUAGGCAUCAGAUAGCUCACACAAAAUAGCAAAUGAAUUGUCUUUUUUUCUGAAUGCUUUCUGAAAGCUCUUACAUCCCCACAAAGGAUCUACUUCAAUUCCUUAAAACUUUUCCUUCAUCACAGUUUGCACUCCCUAAACCUUUGCAAAGCUUAGAACUUCCCAUCACUGUACGAUGAAAAAUUGAAAUAUUAUACAAAUGGGCAUGAUAAAUAUUCCCUCUUUUUGUAUAAAAAUUUUUUCAAUUGACAAGCAUUUAUUUCCUACCUUCACCCCUUCCCCAGACCAAAAAGAAAAAAUAAACCCCAUGUAACAAAUAUGCA